This is a small nuclear RNA of Rhipicephalus microplus (southern cattle tick), 135 nucleotides long. RefSeq annotates it as U4 spliceosomal RNA. The record is from RefSeq and is a predicted model, not a curated record. Lineage: Eukaryota; Metazoa; Arthropoda; Arachnida; Ixodida; Ixodidae.
AACUUUGCGCAGACACAGUGUCGCAUCCAAUGAUGUUUCAACUGAGGAGCGACUAUUGGUACUUGAAACUUAUCUCCAUGCUUCGUUAUUAUCAGUCACGUGGACAAAAAUUGGACUCUCUCCGCUACCAAUGAG